GCGCCUGUGGUGAAACUGGCAGACACGUUGGAUUUAGGUUCCAAUGUCAAUAGACGUGCAGGUUCAAGUCCUGUCAGGCGCA
RNAcentral lists this transfer RNA (82 nucleotides) under Ruminococcus sp. Its description in RNAcentral is "tRNA-Leu". It matches the Rfam family "tRNA". Rfam says of the family: Transfer RNA (tRNA) molecules are approximately 80 nucleotides in length. The record is from RNAcentral. Lineage: Bacteria; Bacillati; Bacillota; Clostridia; Eubacteriales; Oscillospiraceae. RNAcentral also lists the same sequence under 1 other name.